CCUACGGGAGGCAGCAGUGAGGAAUAUUGGUCAAUGGACGAGAGCCUGAACCAGCCAAGUAGCGUGAAGGAUGACUGCCCUACGGGUUGUAAACUUCUUUUAUAUGGGAAUAAAAUGUUCCACGUGUGGGAUUUUGUAUGUACUAUAUGAAUAAGGAUCGGCUAACUCCGUGCCAGCAGCCGCGGUAAUACGGAGGAUCCGAGCGUUAUCCGGAUUUAUUGGGUUUAAAGGGAGCGUAGGUGGAUUGUUAAGUCAGUUGUGAAAGUUUGCGGCUCAACCGUAAAAUUGCAAUUGAAACUGGCAGUCUUGAGUACAGUAGAGGUGGGCGGAAUUCGUGGUGUAGCGGUGAAAUGCUUAGAUAUCACGAAGAACUCCGAUUGCGAAGGCAGCUCACUAGACUGCAACUGACACUGAGGCUCGAAAGUGUGGGUAUCAAACAGGAUUAGAUACCCCUGUAGUC
This 460-nucleotide ribosomal RNA is filed under the name uncultured bacterium. RNAcentral describes it as "partial 16S ribosomal RNA". It matches the Rfam family "Bacterial small subunit ribosomal RNA", at positions 338 to 795 of the family's 1533-position model. The record is from RNAcentral.